Molecule: transfer RNA, 85 nt
Filed under: Nowellia curvifolia
Lineage: Eukaryota; Viridiplantae; Streptophyta; Jungermanniopsida; Jungermanniales; Cephaloziaceae
Description: tRNA-Leu
Rfam family: tRNA
About the family: Transfer RNA (tRNA) molecules are approximately 80 nucleotides in length. Their secondary structure includes four short double-helical elements and three loops (D, anti-codon, and T loops).
Source: RNAcentral
GGGGGUAUGGCGAAAUUGGUAGACGCUGCGGACUUAAUAUCCGUUGGCUUUUUAGACCGUGAGGGUUCAAGUCCCUCUACCCCCA